UCUGAUGAUGUCCGUGAAUGAGAUGUCACGAGGGAACGUGUUCACCUGAGGAAAGGGGGGAGCCCCAGGUCCGUGGAUCAACAGAUCGCGGAUACCCGGAGGCGAGAGCUGCGGGAUCAAUCCCUUAUUCCAAGACUUAGCCUCUCUAAUCGAAGCUAAAAGCUAGAUUAGGGGAGGGGCUUGGCACGGCAGCGAUUUCGGCACUAAACAGAAGCAGAUUAGGCGUUGUGGAAGCGGCGAUGGCAGGGAAGAACUCGACCUGGGUCGGAGGCGGCGAAUGGAAAAGUGAAUGGGGAAAUUUUUAUAUUCAAAAAUCGAUGCCGAACAAAGAUUCACGAUAGUCUUUUUAUCUAACAGGACUUAAAUGUAAAUACUUAAAAUAAAAAGAGUUUUUUUGCAAAAUUCCCCAUAACUCCUGGGUUCGACCAGAUUGGCUUAGCCACCCUUGAAAUUGACCUGGUAAUCCUUCAUCCACGUCGGUCGUUUCCCCUCCCGGUUCGAUGGCUCGCGUACGCCACUGACUCGGUCCGGUGCAGGACGACUCGGGUCUUCCUCAGAUGGCACGUCCGGUUCCUCUUCCUCAGGCGUGUCUUCUUCCUCAAGUGCGUCCGAGUUCCCUUCCAUUGUUAUCCGGCGCACGUCGUCCUCAAUCUCCCGGAAAUCAAUUUGCUGGACUGCAUCA
This 682-nucleotide long non-coding RNA is filed under the name Zostera marina. Its description in RNAcentral is "long non-coding RNA (ZMAR_LNC002060)". Lineage: Eukaryota; Viridiplantae; Streptophyta; Magnoliopsida; Alismatales; Zosteraceae. The record is from RNAcentral.